GUUGGAAUCGGAGAGUGCGGAAGAGACGCGCGAAAUCGUCAGUAGGACAGGAAAACUAGAUCGGCAUGAAGGAGUCACACGCUUAAGGAACAGUGACGGCUAACGCGCCCCCUAAGGAAGAGGAGGGAAAAUUUUAACAAUGAAAGCUGAAAUUUCGAUAAAGGUAUUACCAUAUCACUGAAUGUGUCAAAGGAACUUGUAAACUGAAUGCUUCUAUCAGAAGUAAAAUUUAAAAUCCACCAAAAUAGUGUGGGUGCCAUGGAGGAAUGACAGGCAUCCUGGCUGGGAUAAAGGAGGGAUUCUUGCCCGGAUAAUGGAUGGACUGAGUGAACCGCAAACCAAGAGAAGUUCAUUCCCCUACAUGACAGGUAGCAGUGUUCCUCAGGGUUGAACCCGAUUAGGACAGCCACAGGGUGGC
Molecule: long non-coding RNA, 418 nt
Organism: Erpetoichthys calabaricus (reedfish)
Lineage: Eukaryota; Metazoa; Chordata; Cladistia; Polypteriformes; Polypteridae
Exons: 3
Source: RefSeq, a predicted model, not a curated record